AAUAGGGAAACUGAGAAGAAAACUCUCUCCUAAAGGAGCCAGACAAGGGGUGGAGGAAGAAGAGGAAAUCUGAAUAAGAACCUAUGAUUCUUGUCAGUAUUGUAAAAAAUAUUUUUAAUGCUUAUUUUUGAGAGAGACACAGAGCAUGAGCAGGGGGAGGAGCAGAGAGAGAGAGACACACACACACAGAAUCCGAAGCAGGUUCCAGGCUCUAAACUGUCAGCACAGAGCCUGACACGGGGCUCGAAUUCACAAACCAUGAGAUCAUAACCUGAGCUGAAAUCGGAUGCUUAACCGACUGAGCCACCCAGGUGCCCCUCUUGUCAAUAUUUUUAAAAAUGUUUAUUCAUUUAUUUUGUGAAGGGGGGGAAGGGUGGAGGGAGAGGGAAAGAGAAUCCCUAGCUGGGAUCCCCUUCCAUGUUGUCAGCAGGAAGCCUGACAUGGGGCUCAAUCCCAAGCACCAUGAGAUCAUGACCUGAGCCGAAAUCAAGAGUCAGACACCCGACUCAGCGAGCCACCCAGGCGCCCCCUCUUGCCAACAUUUUUAAGAAGACGGGGAGCAAGGUUCCCCGGCCACACUUCUGCGAUCCUGAGUUUUGGGGUGUCCUGGAACUCUGGGUUGGCCUGAGUGUCUCCAUCUCUCAGUGUCUCUGAGGCCCUGUCUCUACGUGGAUGUCUCUCAUCCCGGGAUGCUGAAGUUUGAAAAGGUUUGGCAGGCAGUGUGGUGCGGAGGGCAUGAGCAGAUACGAAGGGGAGAGAAGGAGGGGGGCAGAGAGGAUGAAGAGGAGGGUCGGGGGAGAGGACAGGGAAAGAGGGGGCGGCGAGGGAAGGGGAGCGAGGGGCGGGGGAGGGGCGCCUGCCUGCGCACAGCAGAUGUUGCCGCGCCUCGGAUGGAGCUGUUAAUCCUCCACCCCCACCUCCAGCCUUGA
Molecule: long non-coding RNA, 929 nt
Filed under: Felis catus (domestic cat)
Lineage: Eukaryota; Metazoa; Chordata; Mammalia; Carnivora; Felidae
Description: lncRNA (ENSFCAG00000049741.1)
Source: RNAcentral